UACGAAGGGGGCUAGCGUUGUUCGGAAUUACUGGGCGUAAAGCGCACGCAGGCGGAUUUAUAAGUCAGGGGUGAAAUCCCGGGGCUCAACCUCGGAAUUGCCCUUGAUACUGUCUAUCUUGAGUCCGGGAGAGGUGAGUGAAAUUCCUAGUGUAGAGGUGAAAUUCGUAGAUAUUAGGAAGAACACCAGUGGCGAAGGCGGCUCACUGGCCCGGUACUGACGCUCAUGUGCGAAAGCGUGGGGAGCAAACAGG
This 253-nucleotide ribosomal RNA is filed under the name uncultured bacterium. RNAcentral describes it as "partial 16S ribosomal RNA". It matches the Rfam family "Bacterial small subunit ribosomal RNA", at positions 524 to 776 of the family's 1533-position model. The record is from RNAcentral.